CUCUAUCCUCGCUCACUUUCUCACUAUCUUUAAUUUCCCAAUCACAUCUCACCUGGAAAAAAUGAAAAAAUCUCUUGUCAAAAAAUCUCUUGCUCAACUUUCUCGCUCUAUAUCUCUUUAAUCUCUCUAUCUCUAUCUUUCUCACUCUCUCACAAGGUAGACCAACUCUCGCUCUAUCUCUCGGUGUAAAGCAAGUGUCUCUAUCCUCGCUCACUUUCUCACUAUCUUUAAUUUCCCAAUCACAUCUCACCUGGAAAAAAUGAAAAAAUCUCGUCAAAAAAUCUCUUGCUCAACUUUCUCGCUCUAUAUCUCUUUAAUCUCUCUAUCUCUAUCUUUCUCACUCUCUCACAAGGUAGACCAACUCUCGCUCUAUCUCUCAGUGUAAAGCAAGUGUCUCUAACGUCGCUCAUUUUCUCACUUUCUUUAAUUUUCUCAACACAUCUCAUCCCCAAAAAAACAACAAUUUUUUCUUACUCUCUCUGUGUGUGGUUACUGGUUGGUGACUGGCUGUGUGUGUGUGUGUAUUCACCAAUCAGAAAGCUGCGAUUCUGGGACCUGACCAGUGAUAGUGACGCGCCGCUUGGUGAGGGCCAGGCACCAGCAGGGGACGCCAUGUUAACCUGUGCCUAUUCAUCGCUUGGUGGUUCAGUCUGUGUUGGACACGAAUCCGGCAGCGUAAUCUUCUAUGGAGCUCCAAACCACCUACCAACACUUCUUCAUCUGUGUCGAAUGAGUGUAAGGCGCAGUGUCCCCUCUCACUCUCUCUCUCUCCUCCCUCUCCCUCACUCUCUCCUGCCUUACCUCACCUACACUGCAUAGAGAGAGAGAGAGAGAGAGAGAGAGAGAGGGACCACUGUUCUAUAUUUAGUGCCAUUUAUAUUGUAAGAGAGAGAGAGAGAGAGAGAGAGAGAGAGAGAGAGAGAGAGAGAGAGAGAGAGAGAGAGAGAAUUUUAGUUGUGCUCAAAUUGUUGUAGUAGUAGUUGUUGUUUUUGUUGUACUAC
This 1001-nucleotide long non-coding RNA is filed under the name Portunus trituberculatus (swimming crab). RNAcentral's name for it is "uncharacterized LOC123506452". Lineage: Eukaryota; Metazoa; Arthropoda; Malacostraca; Decapoda; Portunidae. The record is from RNAcentral.